AGUGAACGCUGGCGGUAGGCCUAACACAUGCAAGUCGAACGGCAGCACAGUAAGAGCUUGCUCUUACGGGUGGCGAGUGGCGGACGGGUGAGGGAUACAUCGGAAUCUACUUUUUCGUGGGGGAUAACGUAGGGAAACUUACGCUAAUACCGCAUACGACCUACGGGUGAAAGCAGGGGAUCUUCGGACCUUGCGCGAUUGAAUGAGCCGAUGUCGGAUUAGCUAGUUGGCGGGGUAAAGGCCCGCCAAGGCGACGACCCGUAGCUGGUCUGAGAGGAUGGUCAGCCACACUGGAACUGAGACACGGUCCAGACUCCUACGGGAGGCAGCAGUGGGGAAUAUUGGACAAUGGGCGCAAGCCUGAUCCAGCCAUACUGCGUGGGUGAAGAAGGCCUUCGGGUUGUAAAGCCCUUUUGUUGGGAAAGAAAAGCAGCAGGUUAAUACCCCGCUGUUCUGACGGUACCCAAAGAAUAAGCACCGGCUAACUUCGUG
This 492-nucleotide ribosomal RNA is filed under the name uncultured bacterium. Its description in RNAcentral is "partial 16S ribosomal RNA". It matches the Rfam family "Bacterial small subunit ribosomal RNA", at positions 29 to 507 of the family's 1533-position model. The record is from RNAcentral.